AUAAAAGCUAAAAAAAUAAUGGUUGAUAAAUUAGAGCUCAUUGCAUGUUUGGACUAAACAGCAUUACCAAAACAGUAGUUGCAAUGCUCACAGCUCCUCCAUGAGGGAGGGAAGCCUGCAAAUUUGCACUAUACAGAGAAGGAAGCUAUUAAGUGGCAGGGCCAAUGUGGCACAGUGGGUUUGAUUUUUAACCAGCACACAUGAUUGCCUCUUGAGGUUUUAGAUCAGGUUAUUGAAAUAUAGCUAGCAUAGUCAUGAAAUAGAAGGGUACAUUAAAUAGAAAGUGGGGUAGUAGGUAAAGUAUUUCUGUAGCUCUGCAUAAGUCAGAUCAAUUGUCUUGGCCUUAGUUUACUCAACUGUUAGAGUCUAGUGAAGCCCACUUCCAGCUAUAAAAAUCAAGUUUUUUGCCAUGUCGAUGGAAUGCAACAGGUAAGAACAAAGGAAUAACAACUAUGUAAAAAAAAAAAAAUUCGGCAAAGGGCUCUCUCUUUCUGUCUUGUAUGUGUGGAUGUGUGUUGCCAGGCAUCCUCUAAUGGAAAUAUGAGGUAGCUCUAGGGACAAAUAAAUUACAGGAAAGAGAAAAUACAUGAGAGUGAGGGUCAUAUACAGAUGUUGAAAUUGGUCGCUUUGUAUAUGGUAUUGGUGUGAAAAUGACCAGCCCAUUAAUCAGGUAGGAUCAGGUGGCAUAAAGAAAGCGUGGGUUGUCUUGGUAAAUGCCUGAUCUUUCUUCUCUUCCUCUAUCCUCUUCUACCCUAUUUUGAUGGACAUAUUCAGCACUUUUUGAUCUAUAACAAUUAAAAGGGAGCUUCUGCUGAUGGAAGCUUGUCAGGCCUUUGAAGCUGACACCAGGACCAGAGGGAGAGCUGCAUCUGCCAUGGGAGUCUGGGCUGUGAGGAGAUGAGAGGGGCUUGCCCUUCCAAGGGGAGAUCACCUUUGGCAGGAGUAAGUGCUUUCACUCAGAGGUAGCCCUGCUAGUGAGAUGAGAGCAGCGUGCACUAAGUUAGCAGAUUCAAAGGAGUGAGCUGGCAAACAGAAUCACAUCACAUCUGCCAGAGAAAGUGAUCAAAAGCAACAGGACCCAGGCAGCUGGCAAAAAGGUGACCCCUGGACACUCGGCUGUUUCAAAAACACAGCUGAUCCUAAAGAUUGAGAGAAAGUGAAUGAAUGUGCUCACUAUAAAUCUCUGCCAACUUAAAUAAUACAUCUCUCCUUCCUUCCCUUUUUCUCUUUCUUCAGUUUUUAAAAAUCCAUCCGAUCUAGUUUACUACUGACAUGGUUUAGCUGCGUCCCCACCUGAACGCAUCUUGAAUUGUGACUCCCACAAUUCCCACAUGUUGUGAGAGGAACCUGGUGGGAGGUGACUGAGUCAUUGGGUGGGUCUUUCUCCUGCGGGUCUCAUGAUAGUGAGUAAGUCUCACGAGAUCUGAUGGGAGUUUCCCUGCAGAAGCUUUCUUCUCUCGUCUGUUGCCAUGUGAGACCUGCUUUUCACUUUCCUCCAUGAUUGUGAGGCCUCCUCAGCCACGUGGAACGCUUGCAACUUUAUGAAGAGAAGAGGUCACUUUCUCUUGAAGAACUUAAACCCUGAGUAUACCAUUUUUGUUUGAGAAUACUGAUGACCACAUUUCCCAGCUUUCUGAUGAUUCUGACUGCUUGGUACUGACUCUUGUUGAACAUCUGUGGGAUCAAGCCUGAGGCUACACCUCCAUGAGCAUAAAAUACCUAAAUUACCCAUGAAACUUUUAUGAACAAGGCAAUUUUUGAAGCUGAAAAGCCUAAAAUAAUGUCAAAGCUCUCAAAGUGAAGAAGAUAAAAUCGUUCUUCAUCUUUACCUCCUUCCCCCCACCCUACCUGCCACCCUUUUGGCCUACUGUUUAGUGGAAAGCUCUCUUAUAAAAUUACCCUCCUCUAACUUCCUUGUCUCAGAGUGAUUGACGUCUGGACAAUUUUGUUUUGCUUUGGGUAACUUCAGAGAAUACAUUUUUGCUCACUGGAUUCAGUAUUGUGUCUGUACUCUUUUUUGGUUUCAAAGGGUGAGACACUGUCUUUGGCUUUCUCUGAAUCUUCUCUUCAUCCUUAUUUUGUGGUUAUUGUAGAAGAUGCCAAAGCAUCAGAUUAGCAUUCAUUUGGAAAUCAUUUCUAGUGUAAGUCAGAGUCCUGAUGGGAACAUGGAAACCAUGUUAGGAAUUUAAAAUAGAGUCGAUUUGCUUUGGGAUAUUAUGACACAGAUACUGAUGAGCUGAAAGAGCAGAAAGGUAAUACUGGUGACCUAGAAUAGUAGGUACAGGAAGAGCCUGCGAUGAAGAAGAAACAGUGGAGACAGAGGAACUAUGUGGCUGGUUUAGCAAAUACAGAAAGAAGUUGAAGGCUUGACCAGGGGAAGCACAGCUCCAAAGGCAAGAAGUAAGGCAGGAAGAAGCUCCUUGUCCCUCUCCCCCAUCUCCCACUGUUACUCUGUUAUGCUGCCUGCUGGCAGAAAUUCAGUUCCCAAACUGGGAAUCAUAGUUUGCUGUGUUUUGAGCCCCAGCAUCACGGAGUAUAGAAUGAGUUUAGAGGUAAGAGAAACCAGAUAAUAAAUCAGCACAAUUUCAACAAUUCUUGACACAAAGAAUAUAAUUUCUUAGUAUACUUUCUAUUUAUACACUAUCAGUGCAGGCUCCUGCAAUUAAAUAUAUAUAUAUAUAUAUAAUAAAGUUUCAUCAAAUGGCACUUUAAAUUAAUAAUUUGUAACUCAAUGCAUUUUUAUUCUAUAAUUUAUUAGUUUCCAUUUGUUUAUCUUUGGUAGAAACUAUUUUAAAUUAGCAUUUGAUAAUUAGUAAAUGGGAUUUUCACCUUCUGUGCUGAUGUUAGAACUGAAUCUCCACAUAAGUUGCAACUUAUCUAAUAAUCUAGCAAACAUAUUAAAUCAAUUUAAAAAGAACCAAGUAUGUAACAAAUUAUUUUCCUCUAAAGAGAAAAUAAUUUGAGAACAUAUAAAGCAGAAUUUUUAGAGAAGGGAUUUAGAGCUCAUGUAACCAAUGAAUCUUGUUUCUAAAGUUACUUCCACUUAAUAGUCAAUUCUUUCUUUACAAAUCUGUAAAGGGCUGGACUGAGACAGUAUUGAAAAAAUACAUUUAAAUAAAUUUAGAGAUAAAAU
Cebus imitator (Panamanian white-faced capuchin) is the source of this 3133-nucleotide long non-coding RNA. RefSeq lists it as uncharacterized. The transcript is spliced from 4 exons. The record is from RefSeq and is a predicted model, not a curated record. NCBI's taxonomy places the organism in Eukaryota, Metazoa, Chordata, Mammalia, Primates, Cebidae.